Molecule: ribosomal RNA, 253 nt
Filed under: uncultured bacterium
Lineage: Bacteria
Description: partial 16S ribosomal RNA
Rfam family: Bacterial small subunit ribosomal RNA
Source: RNAcentral
GACAGAGGGUGCAAACGUUGUUCGGAAUUACUGGGCGUAAAGCGCGUGUAGGCGGCUUGGCAAGUCGGGUGUGAAAGCCCUGGGCUCAACCCAGGAAGUGCACUCGAAACUGCUUCGCUCGAGUAUCGGAGAGGAAAGCGGAAUUCUCGGUGUAGAGGUGAAAUUCGUAGAUAUCAAGCAGAACACCUGCGGCGAAGGCGGCCUUCUGGACGAUGACUGACGCUGAGACGCGAAAGCGUGGGGAGCAAACAGG